Molecule: transfer RNA, 71 nt
Filed under: Crossodactylus schmidti (Schmidt's spinythumb frog)
Lineage: Eukaryota; Metazoa; Chordata; Amphibia; Anura; Hylodidae
Description: tRNA-Tyr
Rfam family: tRNA
About the family: Transfer RNA (tRNA) molecules are approximately 80 nucleotides in length. Their secondary structure includes four short double-helical elements and three loops (D, anti-codon, and T loops).
Source: RNAcentral
GGUAAAAUGGCCGAGCGAAUAGGCGGUGGGCUGUAGACCCAACUAGAGAGGUUCAACUCCUCUUUUUACCA